This 397-nucleotide RNase P RNA is filed under the name Chthoniobacterales bacterium. RNAcentral describes it as "RNase P RNA component class A". It matches the Rfam family "Bacterial RNase P class A". Rfam says of the family: Ribonuclease P (RNase P) is a ubiquitous endoribonuclease, found in archaea, bacteria and eukarya as well as chloroplasts and mitochondria. Its best characterised activity is the generation of mature 5'-ends of tRNAs by cleaving the 5'-leader elements of precursor-tRNAs. Cellular RNase Ps are ribonucleoproteins. The record is from RNAcentral. Lineage: Bacteria; Pseudomonadati; Verrucomicrobiota; Spartobacteria; Chthoniobacterales.
CGAUGGCAGAUGAUCGCUCCGAAGAGAUUCGGAGAGGAAAGUCCGAACACCAUACGGCAGCAUGCCGCGUAAAACGCGCGGGCGCCGCAGUUGUAAAAUUGCGGUGACGGAAAGUGUCACAGAAAACACACCGCCGGUUCUUUGGCAACGAAGGAGAGGCAAGGUUGAAAAGGCGAGGUAAGAGCUCACCGCUCGCGGAGUAAUCCUCGAGGCACGAAAAACCCCAUGUGGUGCAAGACAGAACAGAGGCAGGGCAGCCGGUCCGUUGACCCUCGGGUAUCGUCGCAUCACGAGUCCGCUUCGGCGGGGUCGGGCGGCUCACGCAAGUGGGCUGAGAUAAAUGAUCAUCAGGGUUGAGCAAUCAGCCGCACAGAAUUCGGCUUAUCGCCAUCGAAAU